GAAUCGGACACACCAUUUUUGUUUCCGGACGUUUAUGGUGCUAUCGAUAGGUAAUUUCAAGGUGAUCAUUUCGUAGAAGAAGAUUUUUUUUUAAACGACCUCUCCGGCUCGGGGCGACUCUAAGAAAAUUUGAAAAUUUCAAAAUCAUGACUUUUUCAGAAAAUUUUACACCGAAAUGAAACGACCCGGUCGGUUUUGAUCUAAUGGUAGUUUGUAGAGAAUUGACAGACGAUUCUAAUAAAAGUAUCGUCGGGUCGAAAGGUUGUAGUUGUGAGUCAGGGUGAGGCAUCAAAGUCCAAUUUUAUGAAACAAAAUGAAGAGU
This is a long non-coding RNA of Bradysia coprophila, 322 nucleotides long. The record is from RefSeq and is a predicted model, not a curated record. NCBI's taxonomy places the organism in Eukaryota, Metazoa, Arthropoda, Insecta, Diptera, Sciaridae.